CACGUAGGAGGCGAGCGUUGUCCGGAAUCAUUGGGCGUAAAGAGCGCGCAGGCGGCUUGGCAAGUCGGGUGUGAAAUCCCGUGGCUCAACCCCGUGACUGCAUCCGAUACUGUCAGGCUAGAGGUAGGUAGGGGAGAUCGGAAUUCCUGGUGUAGCGGUGAAAUGCGCAGAUAUCAGGAAGAACACCCGUGGCUAAGGCGGCUCUCUAGUACGGUACUGACGCUGAGACGCGAAAGCGUGGGGAGCGAACAGG
Molecule: ribosomal RNA, 253 nt
Filed under: uncultured bacterium
Lineage: Bacteria
Description: partial 16S ribosomal RNA
Rfam family: Bacterial small subunit ribosomal RNA
Source: RNAcentral